UGGGGAAUAUUGGGCAAUGGAGGCAACUCUGACCCAGCAACGCCGCGUGAGGGAAGAAGGUUUUCGGAUUGUAAACCUCUGUCCUAGGGGACGAAGAAAGUGACGGUACCCUAGGAGGAAGCCCCGGCUAACUACGUGCCAGCAGCCGCGGUAAUACGUAGGGGGCGAGCGUUGUCCGGAAUUACUGGGCGUAAAGGGUGCGUAGGCGGUGUGUUAAGUUAGAUGUGAACUCCCCGGGCUUAACUCGGGAGGUGCAUUUAAAACUGCUGAACUAGAGUGCAGGAGAGGAAAGCGGAAUUCCUAGUGUAGCGGUGAAAUGCGUAGAUAGUAGGAGGAACACCAGUGGCGAAGGCGGCUUUCUGGACUGUAACUGACGCUGAGGCACGAAAGCGUGGGGAGCGAACA
RNAcentral lists this ribosomal RNA (405 nucleotides) under uncultured prokaryote. Its description in RNAcentral is "bacterial SSU rRNA". It matches the Rfam family "Bacterial small subunit ribosomal RNA", at positions 355 to 774 of the family's 1533-position model. The record is from RNAcentral.